Molecule: ribosomal RNA, 450 nt
Filed under: uncultured bacterium
Lineage: Bacteria
Description: bacterial SSU rRNA
Rfam family: Bacterial small subunit ribosomal RNA
Source: RNAcentral
GUGGGGAAUAUUGGACAAUGGGCGAAAGCCUGAUCCAGCCAUGCCGCGUGUGUGAAGAAGGUCUUCGGAUUGUAAAGCACUUUAAGUUGGGAGGAAGGGUAGUAACCUAAUACGUUGCUACUUUGACGUUACCGACAGAAUAAGCACCGGCUAACUUCGUGCCAGCAGCCGCGGUAAUACGGAGGGGGCUAGCGUUGUUCGGAAUUACUGGGCGUAAAGCGCACGUAGGCGGACCGGAAAGUCAGAGGUGAAAUCCCAGGGCUCAACCUGGGAACUGCCUCCAAAACUGCAUGACUAGAGUACGGUAGAGGGUAGUGGAAUUUCCUGUGUAGCGGUGAAAUGCGUAGAUAUAGGAAGGAACACCAGUGGCGAAGGCGACUACCUGGACUGAUACUGACACUGAGGUGCGAAAGCGUGGGGAGCAAACAGGAUUAGAUACCCCGGUAGUCC